UACGUAGGGUGCAAGCGUUGUCCGGAAUUAUUGGGCGUAAAGAGCUCGUAGGCGGUUUGUCGCGUCUGCUGUGAAAACUCGGGGCUUAACGCCGGGCCUGCAGUGGGUACGGGCAGACUAGAGUGCGGUAGGGGAGACUGGAAUUCCUGGUGUAGCGGUGAAAUGCGCAGAUAUCAGGAGGAACACCGGUGGCGAAGGCGGGUCUCUGGGCAUUAACUGACGCUGAGGAGCGAAAGCAUGGGGAGCGAACAGG
This 253-nucleotide ribosomal RNA is filed under the name uncultured bacterium. RNAcentral describes it as "partial 16S ribosomal RNA". It matches the Rfam family "Bacterial small subunit ribosomal RNA", at positions 524 to 776 of the family's 1533-position model. The record is from RNAcentral.